Molecule: long non-coding RNA, 428 nt
Filed under: Gossypium raimondii (Peruvian cotton)
Lineage: Eukaryota; Viridiplantae; Streptophyta; Magnoliopsida; Malvales; Malvaceae
Description: long non-coding RNA (GRAI_LNC008517)
Source: RNAcentral
AAAAUUUGGCAAGGAAAACAGUAAGGGAGAAAAAAAGAAAGUAGAUGGCAGCAAUAGUUUGGGGGAGAGCACUUCGCCGAAGCAAAGAACAAAGUCGAAAGAGAAAAGAGAUGAGAAAAAAACUAGUAGGAACCCUCAGCAAUAUUCGGCCCUCAAGAGUGGAAAACAGUCGACAAAAAUAAAAUUAAAAGAAAAAAACCAAUCCCCAGCCGAAGUUUGAGAAACAAAAGAAAUUCAAUUCAACACUAACUCUCUCAUCAUAUCCCUAGAAUCUCUCCUUAAAAACCUCACUACUAACCCACCAUAAUCCUCUCAACAACUAAAACCAACACUCAGUCAACCUUUUCAGUAUUUCGGCUGGAGCAAAAUACCUACACGGCACAAGCAAUAAAAUAAGUACUUUGUUUGCGUAGAUACUCAAAAUCCAG